Molecule: transfer RNA, 72 nt
Filed under: Paroedura androyensis
Lineage: Eukaryota; Metazoa; Chordata; Lepidosauria; Squamata; Gekkonidae
Description: tRNA-Trp
Source: RNAcentral
GGUGCUUAGGCUACAUAAACCAAGGACCUUCAAAGUCCGAAAAAGUGACUAUCACUAGCACCUGCAAGACCU